CAGCAGCCGCGGUAAUACGGAGGAUCCAAGCGUUAUCCGGAAUCAUUGGGUUUAAAGGGUCCGUAGGCGGUCUUGUAAGUCAGUGGUGAAAGCCCAUCGCUCAACGGUGGAACGGCCAUUGAUACUGCAGGACUUGAAUUAUUGGGAAGUAACUAGAAUAUGUAGUGUAGCGGUGAAAUGCUUAGAGAUUACAUGGAAUACCAAUUGCGAAGGCAGGUUACUACCAAUUGAUUGACGCUGAUGGACGAAAGCGUGGGUAGCGAACAGGAUUAGAUACCCUCGUAGUCCCUGUCUCUUAUAA
This 301-nucleotide ribosomal RNA is filed under the name uncultured bacterium. RNAcentral describes it as "partial 16S ribosomal RNA". It matches the Rfam family "Bacterial small subunit ribosomal RNA", at positions 509 to 809 of the family's 1533-position model. The record is from RNAcentral.